ACGGGGCGCAGCAGGCGCGAAAACUUUACAAUGCGGGAAACCGUGAUAAGGGGACACCGAGUGCCAGCAUCAUAUGCUGGCUGUCCAGGUGUGUAAAAUACACCUGUUAGCAAGGGCCGGGCAAGACCGGUGCCAGCCGCCGCGGUAACACCGGCGGCCCGAGUGGUGAUCGUGAUUAUUGGGUCUAAAGGGUCCGUAGCCGGUUUGGUCAGUCCUCCGGGAAAUCUGACAGCUCAACUGUUAGGCUUUCGGGGGAUACUGCCAGACUUGGAACCGGGAGAGGUAAGAGGUACUACAGGGGUAGGAGUGAAAUCUUGUAAUCCCUGUGGGACCACCUGUGGCGAAGGCGUCUUACCAGAACGGGUUCGACGGUGAGGGACGAAAGCUGGGGGCACGAACCGGAUUAGAUACCCGGGUAGUCCCAGCCGUAAACGAUGCUCGCUAGGUGUCAGGCAUGGCGCGACCGUGUCUGGUGCCGCAGGGAAGCCGUGAAGCGAGCCACCUGGGAAGUACGGCCGCAAGGCUGAAACUUAAAGGAAUUGGCGGGGGAGCAC
Molecule: ribosomal RNA, 554 nt
Filed under: uncultured archaeon
Lineage: Archaea
Description: bacterial SSU rRNA
Rfam family: Archaeal small subunit ribosomal RNA
Source: RNAcentral